This 580-nucleotide ribosomal RNA is filed under the name Escherichia coli. RNAcentral describes it as "bacterial SSU rRNA". It matches the Rfam family "Bacterial small subunit ribosomal RNA", at positions 207 to 779 of the family's 1533-position model. Lineage: Bacteria; Pseudomonadati; Pseudomonadota; Gammaproteobacteria; Enterobacterales; Enterobacteriaceae. The record is from RNAcentral. RNAcentral also lists the same sequence under 2 other names.
CGGGCCUCUUGCCAUCGGAUGUGCCCAGAUGGGAUUAGCUAGUAGGUGGGGUAACGGCUCACCUAGGCGACGAUCCCUAGCUGGUCUGAGAGGAUGACCAGCCACACUGGAACUGAGACACGGUCCAGACUCCUACGGGAGGCAGCAGUGGGGAAUAUUGCACAAUGGGCGCAAGCCUGAUGCAGCCAUGCCGCGUGUAUGAAGAAGGCCUUCGGGUUGUAAAGUACUUUCAGCGGGGAGGAAGGGAGUAAAGUUAAUACCUUUGCUCAUUGACGUUACCCGCAGAAGAAGCACCGGCUAACUCCGUGCCAGCAGCCGCGGUAAUACGGAGGGUGCAAGCGUUAAUCGGAAUUACUGGGCGUAAAGCGCACGCAGGCGGUUUGUUAAGUCAGAUGUGAAAUCCCCGGGCUCAACCUGGGAACUGCAUCUGAUACUGGCAAGCUUGAGUCUCGUAGAGGGGGGUAGAAUUCCAGGUGUAGCGGUGAAAUGCGUAGAGAUCUGGAGGAAUACCGGUGGCGAAGGCGGCCCCCUGGACGAAGACUGACGCUCAGGUGCGAAAGCGUGGGGAGCAAACAGGAUU